GCUACUGCUAUCGGGGUUCGAUUAAGCCAUGCGAGUUAAAUGUUCUUCGUGAACAUAGCGAACUGCUCAGUAACACGUGGAUAACCUACCCUUAGGACCGGAAUAACCCCGGGAAACUGGGGAUAAUACCGGAUAAGCCAUAGACGCUGGAAUGCCCUAUGGUUCAAAGCUCCGGCGCCUAAGGAUGGAUCUGCGGUCUAUCAGGUUGUAGUGGGUGUAACGUACCUACUAGCCGACGACGGAUACGGGUUGUGAGAGCAAGAGCCCGGAGAUGGAUUCUGAGACACGAAUCCAGGCCCUGCGGGGUGCAGCAGGCGCGAACACUUUACAAUGCGGGAAACCGCGAUAAGGGAACCCCGAGUGCCAGCAUCAAAUGUUGGCUGUCCAGAUGAUUAAAAAUCAUUUGUAAGCAAGGGCCGGGCAAGACCGGUGCCAGCCGCCACGGUAACACCGGCGGCCCGAGUGGUAGCCGUUUUUAUUGGGUCUAAAGGGUCCGUAGCCGGCUUGAUAAGUCCUUUGGGAAAUCUGGCAGCUUAACUGUCAGGCUUCUAAGGGAUACUGUCAGGCUUGGGACCGGAAGAGGUAAGGGGUACUCCAGGGGUAGGAGUGAAAUCUUGUAAUCCCUGGGGGACCAUCUGUGGCGAAGGCGCCUUACCAGAACGGGUCCGACGGUGAGGGACGAAAGCUAGGGGAGCAAACCGGAUUAGAUACCCGGGUAGUCCUAGCUGUAAACGAUGCCCGCUAGGUGUCAGACACGGUGCGACCGUGUUUGGUGCCGCAGGGAAGCCGUUAAGCGAGCCACCUGGGAAGUACGGUCGCAAGGCUGAAACUUAAAGGAAUUGGCGGGGGAGCACUACAACGGGUGGAGCCUGCGGUUUAAUUGGAGUCAACGCCGGG
RNAcentral lists this ribosomal RNA (897 nucleotides) under uncultured archaeon. RNAcentral's name for it is "bacterial SSU rRNA". It matches the Rfam family "Archaeal small subunit ribosomal RNA", at positions 23 to 922 of the family's 1478-position model. The record is from RNAcentral.